Molecule: long non-coding RNA, 2234 nt
Organism: Thunnus maccoyii (southern bluefin tuna)
Lineage: Eukaryota; Metazoa; Chordata; Actinopteri; Scombriformes; Scombridae
Exons: 3
Source: RefSeq, a predicted model, not a curated record
AAUAAAAACUUUCAGAUUGUUUAUGUGUUUUCACAGCGGCUCUGAUGGAGCCACACCGACUGUUUUAGUUUUACGUGUUGAGUUUUUGAACUUGUGUUGACAGCUGAAUACGGCAGACGUCACUGUCAACAGCAUAUUUCAUUAAAACUGAACAAUGAGGUCUGUGAGGGAUCUAACUCGGGCAUCGUUUCAGUGUGAGGAAUGCAGAACUUCAGAUCAGGUUCCUAUAAUGUCCCAGAUGAAAAGAGGGAGAGAGAUACUGUUACCAGACCAGAGAGAAGACAGACAAAGAGAGGCGAGAUGCAGCUGAGAAACAGAACCAGACAGAAAAUGAUUUUAAAUGAAAGACGUUACGGAACAGAGACACGAAAGGAGGAGGUUCUGGAGGAGGGUGGACGGAGGAGUAAACCCAACAGCAGACUUUGCCAAAGGAGACUUUGCUGUACGUUUCCUGUUUCCAACCACGAGUCGGGACAGUUUUUUAAAAAAAGUGUAAGUACGAUUGUCCCGUAACCUUAAAAAGGUCUUUGAAUCACAAAAAGGGGAAAAACUUUACCUGAGAUUUCAACAGUAAAGUCAAUAAUUUGGGAGGAAAAACUGUUUUAUUUUGAAAAUUCGUUUUGUUAUAUUUUGAAAAUUUACAAGUAAUGUUUUGAGAAGUUUCAGUAGGUGGCGCUCUUUGUGUGCCAGUCAGAUAUGUUUUCUUUGGGGAGAAAAUACUGAGUAACAGCUUCCACAAACUGGUUUUAUGAUGGAUCCAAAGACUGUAUAUAAAAUCUAAAGAGAGCAGCAGACAUUUAUCAUUUUACGAAUAAUUACUUUAAUACCUUCGUCAAUAACGUAUGGAGUGUUUUGAAGCCACUCAGAGCAACAAGUGGUUUAUAUUUUUAUCCUCAUAAAUAAAAGAAAAUCCAUCUUUCAUUAUUUUAAUAGACUGUCACCUUUGUUACAUUGCAUCACAUGACUUUUAGGAGGUUAUUUAAUCCAAAAUUACUUGAGGAUCAAUAACUUUAGAAGGAAAAAUACCACUGGAAGAUUUUCUCAUCUCUACCUUCUUUCUGCCACGCUGCUGUUUGUUUCUGGGAGGCCUGGACUCGAUCCCGUCUCAUUCGACCUCUGACCUCUGUGACCGGGUUCACAGCCCUCUCAGGGUGGUGUUUAAGGGUGACGGAGGACACGGUGAUUUGGGGCUGCCAGCUCUAAACGCUUCCACAUGCUUCUGCUUGUACGUCUGUGAGUAUAUAGAUGUGUGAGAACCAGAUCUGUGGGAAAAGCUCAACACCACGAGACCACAACGGUAUUUAUUUUUAAAAUGUCAUUCGUCAAAAUGAGAAUUCACUAUAUUUGUGUUUGCAGUGUUUAAAGACUGUAGAACAUUUAAUGAGUAAACAAGGAAAUACCUGUAUGGAAGAAAAAUGAGUCAAAAAUGUUUUAUGUUUUGUUUCAGAUGUUUUAUCUAUUUUUACUUGUGUACUGUAAUGUGUUUUAUAAACCUGUAGUUUAUCUUGUCACUACAUUUGUUGUAUAUGUUACAUGUUAUUGUGCUGCUUUUAUGUUUUGGUGAGCCAAAGGCAAUUUUCCCCUGAGUGAAGACAAUAAAGUUGUAUUCUAUUUUUAAAACAAAAGAAGAAGAAGAAAUAAAAGGCGAAUGAGCAAAGCUAUGAUUGUGGGCGGUUGUGGCUCAGGAGGUAGAGAAGGUCGUCCACCAGUCAGAAGGUCUGUGGUUUGAUCCUCAGCUCCUCCAGUCUGCAUGUCAAAGGGUCCCUGAGCAAGACACUGAACCUCCGGGUAUAUGCGUGUUUGUGUGUGCGAAUGGGUGAAUGUUAGCAUGUAUUGCAGAGUGCUUGUAGUGGUCGUUCAGACUAGAAGAGGGCUUCGUAACUGCAGUCCAUUUACUGUGAUGACAAAUAGAGCUGGUGGUUAUGAAAAUGAUUUAUGUGACAUUAGUUCAGAUUUUGUUUUCCCUUUUCUUCUUGAUGCUUUGUAGAAAUGAUAAGUAUGUGUGUGACAACAACUUUUUCUUUGUGACUUUUUCUAAAAGGUAGAUAGAGAAUGAACAUCUUAAACUGUGUGUUUCAGAUUUGAAGAUGCAGAAACAAAACUCCCAGUUUCAUACAGUUCAUCAAACCUGUUAAUGGAAAAGAAACUGAAAGUCAACACACUCCAACUGUUUGUGCAUUUAAUGUAAAAGGAAAGUGUGUGACCCAACUACAAUAAAUACAUCACAAACCUGA